ACGAACGCUGGCGGCGUGCUUAACACAUGCAAGUCGAACGGAAAGGCCCUGCUUUUGUGGGGUGCUCGAGUGGCGAACGGGUGAGUAACACGUGAGUAACCUGCCCUUGACUUUGGGAUAACUUCAGGAAACUGGGGCUAAUACCGGAUAGGAGCUCCUGCUGCAUGGUGGGGGUUGGAAAGUUUCGGCGGUUGGGGAUGGACUCGCGGCUUAUCAGCUUGUUGGUGGGGUAGUGGCUUACCAAGGCUUUGACGGGUAGCCGGCCUGAGAGGGUGACCGGCCACAUUGGGACUGAGAUACGGCCCAGACUCCUACGGGAGGCAGAAGUGGGGAAUAUUGCACAAUGGGCGGAAGCCUGAUGCAGCAACGCCGCGUGCGGGAUGAAGGCCUUCGGGUUGUAAACCGCUUUCGCCUGUGACGAAGCGUGAGUGACGGUAAUGGGUAAAGAAGCACCGGCUAACUACGUG
RNAcentral lists this ribosomal RNA (467 nucleotides) under uncultured bacterium. RNAcentral describes it as "partial 16S ribosomal RNA". It matches the Rfam family "Bacterial small subunit ribosomal RNA", at positions 29 to 507 of the family's 1533-position model. The record is from RNAcentral.